GGACUGGUAGUCUAGCAGGUAUGAUUAUGCCUUCACACGGCGUAGGUCAUGGGUUCAAAUCCCAUCCAGUCCA
RNAcentral lists this transfer RNA (73 nucleotides) under Nitrosopumilaceae archaeon. RNAcentral's name for it is "tRNA-Val". It matches the Rfam family "tRNA". From Rfam's summary of the family: Transfer RNA (tRNA) molecules are approximately 80 nucleotides in length. Their secondary structure includes four short double-helical elements and three loops (D, anti-codon, and T loops). Further hydrogen bonds mediate the characteristic L-shaped molecular structure. tRNAs have two regions of fundamental functional importance: the anti-codon, which is responsible for specific mRNA codon recognition, and the 3' end, to which the tRNAs corresponding amino acid is attached (by aminoacyl-tRNA synthetases). tRNAs cope with the degeneracy of the genetic code in two manners: having more than one tRNA (with a specific anti-codon) for a particular amino acid; and 'wobble' base-pairing, i.e. permitting non-standard base-pairing at the 3rd anti-codon position. The record is from RNAcentral. Lineage: Archaea; Thermoproteati; Nitrososphaerota; Nitrososphaeria; Nitrosopumilales; Nitrosopumilaceae.